AUCCAGAUUACGAGUCCUAAAUAGGAUGAAACGCGCGUCCUGGAU
Schistosoma rodhaini is the source of this 45-nucleotide non-coding RNA. Lineage: Eukaryota; Metazoa; Platyhelminthes; Trematoda; Strigeidida; Schistosomatidae. The record is from Rfam.